RNAcentral lists this ribosomal RNA (279 nucleotides) under uncultured bacterium. RNAcentral's name for it is "partial 16S ribosomal RNA". It matches the Rfam family "Bacterial small subunit ribosomal RNA", at positions 506 to 784 of the family's 1533-position model. The record is from RNAcentral.
UGCCAGCCGCCGCGGUAAUACGGAGGGGGUUAGCGUUGUUCGGAAUUACUGGGCGUAAAGCGCACGUAGGCGGACUGGAAAGUUGGGGGUGAAAUCCCAGGGCUCAACCCUGGAACUGCCUCCAAAACUAUCAGUCUAGAGUUCGAGGGAGGUGAGUGGAAUUCCGAGUGUAGAGGUGAAAUUCGUAGAUAUUCGGAGGAACACCAGUGGCGAAGGCGGCUUUCUGGACCAUAACUGACGCUGAGGCGCGAAAGCGUGGGUAGCAAACAGGAUUAGAUA